CCCUUAGAUGUUCUGGGCCGCACGCGUGCUACACUGAGUGGAUCAGCGGGCCAGGUUGCGCGAAAGCGUUUCCUAAUCUUUAAAUCCGCUCGUGAUGGGGAUUGACGGUUGCAAUUUUCUGUCAUGAACGAGGAAUACCUUGUAAGCGCGGGUCAUCAUCCCGCGCUGAAUACGUCCCUGCCCUUUGUACACACCGCCCGUCGCUACUACCGAUUGAACGGUUUAGUGAGGGCCUCGGAUUGGUCUCGGCCCGCUCUUUACCGGGCGGCGCCGUUGGUCGAGAAGACGCUCGAACUUGAUCGUUUAGAGGAAGUAAAAGUCGUAACA
This 327-nucleotide ribosomal RNA is filed under the name uncultured eukaryote. Its description in RNAcentral is "partial 18S ribosomal RNA". It matches the Rfam family "Eukaryotic small subunit ribosomal RNA", at positions 1470 to 1796 of the family's 1831-position model. The record is from RNAcentral.